RNAcentral lists this ribosomal RNA (679 nucleotides) under uncultured bacterium. Its description in RNAcentral is "bacterial SSU rRNA". It matches the Rfam family "Bacterial small subunit ribosomal RNA", at positions 8 to 692 of the family's 1533-position model. The record is from RNAcentral.
AGAGUUUGAUCCUGGCUCAGGAUGAACGCUAGCGGGAGGCCUAAUACAUGCAAGUCGAACGCUCUGAUUUCGGUCAGGGAGUGGCGCACGGGUGAGUAACACGUACGCAAUCUGCCUUGUGCAGGAGGAUAGCCCUGGGAAACUGGGCGUAAUACUCCAUGGUAUUGUCCAAUUGCAUGAUUGGAUAAUUAAAGCUACGGCGGCACGAGAUGAGCGUGCGUCUGAUUAGGUAGUUGGUGAGGUAACGGCUCACCAAGCCGACGAUCAGUAAGGGGCGUGAGAGCGCGGCCCCUCACACGGGUACUGAGACACGGACCCGACUCCUACGGGAGGCAGCAGUAAGGAAUAUUGGACAAUGGGCGGAAGCCUGAUCCAGCCAUCCCGCGUGCAGGAUGACGGCCCUAUGGGUUGUAAACUGCUUUAGACUGGAAAGAAAGUUGCGGAUUUAUCUGUAAUUGACGGUACCAGUAGAAUAAGCACCGGCUAACUCCGUGCCAGCAGCCGCGGUAAUACGGAGGGUGCAAGCGUUAUCCGGAAUUACUGGGUUUAAAGGGUGCGUAGGCUGCUAUGUAAGUCAGAGGUGAAAGCCCGCCGCUUAACGGUGGAAUUGCCUUUGAUACUGCAUAGCUUGAAACAGGUUGAGGUUGGCGGAAUGUGACAUGUAGCGGUGAAAUGCAUA